Molecule: unclassified non-coding RNA, 311 nt
Filed under: Hevea brasiliensis (rubber tree)
Lineage: Eukaryota; Viridiplantae; Streptophyta; Magnoliopsida; Malpighiales; Euphorbiaceae
Source: RNAcentral
CAAAUGGAAAGGUGAUUUUUUUUUUUAUAAGAUUUAUGAGUAUUUAUGGUGAUUGCAGAUAGGGUUUCAGUGUUUGGUGAGGUUGGAGUAUUCUUCUUAUUAUUAGCCAGGUACGCUCUCAUCCGUAGACCAUAUUUCCCUUUGGUGUUAAAAGUAGUGGCAUUCUCUGGAUUUUGUUGGAUUGAAGGACAGAAUUUGCUUAUAUGUCCCGUGACUCCACAUGAAAAGCAUAUAUCGGGAAGCUUCUCAAAUUUGAAAUGUAUCCAUUGUAGUUCCCCUCGGAUCUUGAGGAACUGAGGGUAUCCAAUGAG